UAGAGAGAGAGAGAGAGAGAGUGAGUAUGUCUCUUAUACUUUCGAAAAUACGGAGGUUUCUGUGCUUAUAAAUUAUUUUCGAUAAUGAAAUAUUCGAUUCGACGAUCAGUUUCAUUAAGUAUGAUCUACGCUAUUAGUACUAAUUAAAAAUAAAUUUUAUAAUGUUUCGACAUUAUCUACCAAGUGAUCAAGAAAUCUUAAAAAUGACUAUUUUAAUGACCAAUAUGACACGUUUGUAAAUUAAAUAGUGUAGAAGAAUCCAAAUUAUAUGAAACUUCAAUAGAAAAUUAUACUUAAGAUCAAGAAUGAAAAUAAUACUUCCGAUUUGAAAUUUAAGUCUUUUAUAAUUAUUUUUUUUAUAAAAUUUUUAUUUUCAACCGUUCAUUUCGAAGCUAUUUAUUCACUAGGCAAACAAAAUAAGAAAAUUAUGAAAUUUGAUUUCUAAAUAGUUCUAAUAAGCGUAGAUCAUAUUUUAUGGAGCCGAUCGUCGAAUCGAAUGUUCCAUCAUCGAAAAUAAUUUAUAAUCAUGAAUUCAAUUAUUUAUUUAUUA
This 550-nucleotide long non-coding RNA is filed under the name Ananas comosus (pineapple). RNAcentral's name for it is "long non-coding RNA (ACOM_LNC017259)". Lineage: Eukaryota; Viridiplantae; Streptophyta; Magnoliopsida; Poales; Bromeliaceae. The record is from RNAcentral.